UUAAUUUUCAGAUGUUACAUGUGAUGUAUUAAAUCUGAAAGUAUGUUAAUUAGAUCAAUUUUUGAUACAUGAGAUGUAUGCAAAGCAUGUAUUAGUUAGAUUUUAAAUUAUAUAUAUAAUAUGUAAAUUUAGAUCUAACUAAUUUUGUAGUUAAAUUUAUAUUUUUGAUUAAGGUAUUCCUCAUGGCCGUCCGAUCAUAAGAAUAAAGUAGG
Molecule: long non-coding RNA, 212 nt
Filed under: Elaeis guineensis (African oil palm)
Lineage: Eukaryota; Viridiplantae; Streptophyta; Magnoliopsida; Arecales; Arecaceae
Description: long non-coding RNA (EGUI_LNC068466)
Source: RNAcentral